AUAGAGGCGUUUUCCGUGCCGGACCGUGUCCAAGUUCCUUGGAACAGGAUAUCAAAGAGGGUGACAAUCCCGUACUUGACACGACGACCGGUGCUCUGUGAUACGUCUUCUACGAGUCGAGUUGUUUGGGAAUGCAGCUCAAGAUGGGUGGUGAGUUCCAUCUAAAGCUAAAUAUUGGCGAGAGACCGAUAGCGAACAAGUACCGUGAGGGAAAGAUGAAAAGCACUUUGGAAAGAGAGUUAAACAGUACGUGAAAUUGUUGAAAGGGAAACGAUUGAAGUCAGUCGUGACCGAGAGGCCCAGCCGGUUCUGCCGGUGUAUUCCCCUCGGUCGGGUCAACAUCAGUUUUGUCCGGUGGAUAAGGGCGGUAGGAAGGUGGCACCCUCGGGUGUGUUAUAGCCUGCCGUCGCAUACAUCGGGUGAGACUGAGGAACGCAGCUCGCCUUUAUGGCCGGGGUUCGCCCACGUCCGAGCUUAGGAUGUUGACAUAAUGGCUU
RNAcentral lists this ribosomal RNA (497 nucleotides) under uncultured Papiliotrema. RNAcentral describes it as "partial large subunit ribosomal RNA". It matches the Rfam family "Eukaryotic large subunit ribosomal RNA", at positions 151 to 640 of the family's 3401-position model. Lineage: Eukaryota; Fungi; Basidiomycota; Tremellomycetes; Tremellales; Tremellaceae. The record is from RNAcentral.